CAUGUCCAUACGACGAGGAUAACGGCUGGAAACGGCUGCUAAGACUGGAUAGGAAUAUAAAAGGCAUCUUUAAUAUUUUAAAGGACCUAAGGGUAUGCGUAUGGGGUGACUUGCGGCGCAUUAGCUAGUUGGUGGGGUAGAAGCCUACCAAGGCGAUGAUGCGUAGCCGGACUGAGAGGUUGAACGGCCACAUUGGGACUGAGACACGGCCCAGACUCCUACGGGAGGCAGCAGUAGGGAAUUUUCGGCAAUGGGGGGAACCCUGACCGAGCAAUGCCGCGUGAAUGAAGAAAUACUUAGGUAUGUAAAGUUCUUUUAUUGGGGAAGAAUGUUUUGUGUAGAACAAGAGUGACGGUACCCAUUGAGUAAGCCCCGGCUAACUAUGUGCCAGCAGCCGCGGUAAUACAUAGGGGGCAAGCGUUAUCCGGAAUUAUUGGGCAUAAAGGGUGCGUAGGCGGCAUGUUAAGUUUAAGGUAUAAGCUCAUGGCUCAACCAUGGGAGGCUUUAGAAACUGGCAUGCUAGAGUGCAGUAGAGGCAAGUGGAAUUCCAUGUGUAGCGGUAAAAUGCGUAAAUAUAUGGAGGAACACCAGUGGCGAAGGCGGCUUGCUG
This 610-nucleotide ribosomal RNA is filed under the name uncultured bacterium. RNAcentral's name for it is "bacterial SSU rRNA". It matches the Rfam family "Bacterial small subunit ribosomal RNA", at positions 125 to 731 of the family's 1533-position model. The record is from RNAcentral.